This 72-nucleotide transfer RNA is filed under the name Pangasianodon hypophthalmus (striped catfish). Its description in RNAcentral is "tRNA-Val". The record is from RNAcentral. Lineage: Eukaryota; Metazoa; Chordata; Actinopteri; Siluriformes; Pangasiidae.
UCCCUGGAGGACUAGUGGUUAGGCCUCGGCACGCACGCUGCCAUGGCCCGGGUUCGAUUCCUGGCCAGGGAA